Molecule: ribosomal RNA, 385 nt
Filed under: uncultured bacterium
Lineage: Bacteria
Description: bacterial SSU rRNA
Rfam family: Bacterial small subunit ribosomal RNA
Source: RNAcentral
GACGAACGCUGGCGGCGUGCCUAAAACAUGCAAGUCGAACGACCCUUCGGGGUAGUGGCGAACGGCGUAGUAAUACAUGAGAAACGUGCCCUUAAGACUGGGAUAUACCGAGGAAACCCGGAGCAAUACCAGAUGUGACGGAGUGGUGGCAUCACCAUUCCAUUAAACGGUUUUUCGCUUAAGGAGCGUCUCAUGGCCUAUCAGGUAGUUGGUGAGGUAAUGGCUCACCAAGCCGACGACGGGUAGCGGGUCUGAGAGGAUGAUCCGCACGAGUGGGACUGCGACACGGCCCACACACCUACGGGUGGCAGCAGUUGGGAAUCUUGCACAAUGGGGGAAACCCUGAUGCAGCGACGCCGCGUGGACGAUGAAGGCCUUAGGGUUG